Long non-coding RNA from Engraulis encrasicolus (European anchovy), 1740 nucleotides. RefSeq lists it as uncharacterized. The record is from RefSeq and is a predicted model, not a curated record. NCBI's taxonomy places the organism in Eukaryota, Metazoa, Chordata, Actinopteri, Clupeiformes, Engraulidae. The transcript has 4 exons.
ACAACAUGCCCGAGCGGUGCGUUGCAGGAUAGAACUGCUCAAACACCAGGGAGAGCGGUUUCACACUGCAUCGCUUUCCAAAAGACCCUGAAUUGAACUUGCUGUGGACACGGCAAGUUCGCAGGACGAGAACUGAUCAGGAACACCGUGGAAGCCAAGCUCAACCUCUGUACUGUGUUCUGCACAUUUUCUGGAUAAAUGUUACGACUCGACCCCGGCUAUGAAGGAGCAACUUGGAAUUGAUGUUCGUCUGAAGAGGGUUUUGCGGCCCAAAUCAGUGCCGAGCAUAUUCCCUCGGGGGACAAGCUCGAGGGGGGCGAGCGGCACCGACGCCAGCUGCAGGGGGUCUCGUGCUCUGGAGAAAAGGCAGCGGCUGGAGAUACUCCAGGAAUGCCAGUCUGAGUAGGCCUAUGUUGCUGCAGAGGAAAGAGAUGGCUUCACUGCUGACGGGGUCCCAUCAAUUGAUGUGUCAAGAAGAAGUUGCAGAGCCUUGGUCAAACCAGAGGUUGCCAGGAUGUCAAACCCUGGGUGGGAAGUAUAAUAAACCAUCUGUACUGGGCUGUGGUCUCGACGCCUCCUGGCAAUGUUCAACUUGUGGUGGACAAAUGGACGUCAGUUAUGGAUCACAUCCACAACAGGCAUACCGGAUUCGAGGGACUGUUCUCUUCUUGUGCGCACAGAGUCUUGGAAGGCAGGGAAUAGCCUGUGUCACUUUUCAUACAAAGGGAUGGAGAGCAGGCUAUGCUGAAGAGCUGAUGCGGAUGGUGGAGGCCAUGUGUCGAGGUGAGGACUACAGCUGUGAUGACUUUGACAUUCCAGACCUAUCCCCUGUUCCAGAGCCAUUGAGCGCAUCAUGUGAAAAGCCGGAUAAGAGGGCAGCAGUCAGUACACACACACACACAACACGCUUUAGCGCCACAAACAACCCUUCAAUACAUUACCAAAAGUUUGAUGCAGGUAAUUCCAAAACCACAGUACAGGGUGUGUUUGUGAAGGACACUUUUUUUCUCUCUUUUUUUCACACUUAUGCAUACAAAUGGUUCCAACUCAGGUGACUUAUCUGAGUAAAAAGUAGACCAAUGUACUUGUCGUAUGUUCAGCUGAUUCUCCACUGGUUGGAUUGAGUUUGCGGUGAUAGUAUGUGUAGCUCUGCUCCAGCAGGGGGCGCCAAAGCUACACACACACCAUCUGGUGUGAACCAGGCCAGGUCCUUGUUAGGUUUUUAGUGUUUUUUUUAGUAAUGACAGUCUCACUGUACAUAAGGUACAAUCAUACAUGGUGUUACAGUUAUGUAUUAUGUGCUACUGUUGUAAUUACACCACAAAUGUACUCAUACUUUUGUUUAAAAUUGGACAGAGCUGGACUGCAUGUAAUAAACACAUUUAUUUUCAUAUUUUCUGUGAGUGCAUUGAUCUACUGUGUUGGGAACCACCUGCUCCAUCCUCUCCUUGGGGUUCUGAAAAAGGUUAUUACAGGGUGUGUAAUAUUAGCUUUAGUCAUUUGAGAUGGAGAGACCUUGAGGUGAUAUUUUGAAUAUCCUACCCACUCAUUUCAUGUCUGUGUUGCUACAGUGCCCCCCAAUACCCAUGUGGGCUUUCAUUGUAUUGUCCCAGAAGUACUGCACAACAUCUUGGACACCACAUGAUAAAGACUACUAGAUAAGCUUCCAUGGUGAAGGUGUAAGUUGUCAGUUUGCUAGCAAAAAUGCCCAAGUAAUUUUAUGGGGCAAAAUGAGAUUUU